AGGAGGCAGCAGUGGGGAAUAUUGGUCAAUGGGCGCAAGCCUGAACCAGCCAUGCCGCGUGCAGGAAGACGGUCCUAUGGAUUGUAAACUGCUUUUAUACAGGAAGAAACCUCCCUACGCGUAGGGACUUGACGGUACUGUAGGAAUAAGGAUCGGCUAACUCCGUGCCAGCAGCCGCGGUAAUACGGAGGAUCCAAGCGUUAUCCGGAAUCAUUGGGUUUAAAGGGUCCGUAGGCGGUCUUAUAAGUCAGUGGUGAAAUCCCAUCGCUCAACGAUGGAACUGCCAUUGAUACUGUAAGACUUGAAUUUUUGUGAAGUAACUAGAAUAUGUAGUGUAGCGGUGGAAUGCUUAGAUAUUACAUGGAAUACCAAUUGCGAAGGCAGGUUACUAACAAACGAUUGACGCUGAUGGACGAAAGCGUGGGGAGCGAACAGGAUUAGAUACCCCUGUA
Molecule: ribosomal RNA, 452 nt
Filed under: uncultured bacterium
Lineage: Bacteria
Description: bacterial SSU rRNA
Rfam family: Bacterial small subunit ribosomal RNA
Source: RNAcentral